AGUGAACGCUGGCGGUAGGCCUAACACAUGCAAGUCGAACGGCAGCACAGUAAGAGCUUGCUCUUACGGGUGGCGAGUGGCAGACGGGUGAGGAAUACAUCGGAAUCUACUUUUUCGUGGGGGAUAACGUAGGGAAACUUACGCUAAUACCGCAUACGACCUACGGGUGAAAGCAGGGGAUCUUCGGACCUUGCGCGAUUGAAUGAGCCGAUGUCGGAUUAGCUAGUUGGCGGGGUAAAGGCCCACCAAGGCGACGAUCCGUAGCUGGUCUGAGAGGAUGAUCAGCCACACUGGAACUGAGACACGGUCCAGACUCCUACGGGAGGCAGCAGUGGGGAAUAUUGGACAAUGGGCGCAAGCCUGAUCCAGCCAUACCGCGUGGGUGAAAAAGGCCUUCGGGUUGUAAAGCCCUUUUGUUGGGAAAGAAAAGCAGCAGGUUAAUACCCCGCUGUUCUGACGGUACCCAAAGAAUAAGCACCGGCUAACUUCGUG
RNAcentral lists this ribosomal RNA (492 nucleotides) under uncultured bacterium. RNAcentral's name for it is "partial 16S ribosomal RNA". It matches the Rfam family "Bacterial small subunit ribosomal RNA", at positions 29 to 507 of the family's 1533-position model. The record is from RNAcentral.